This 84-nucleotide transfer RNA is filed under the name Candidatus Thorarchaeota archaeon. Its description in RNAcentral is "tRNA-Leu". It matches the Rfam family "tRNA". From Rfam's summary of the family: Transfer RNA (tRNA) molecules are approximately 80 nucleotides in length. Their secondary structure includes four short double-helical elements and three loops (D, anti-codon, and T loops). The record is from RNAcentral. Lineage: Archaea; Promethearchaeati; Candidatus Thorarchaeota.
CGGCGAGUGGCGGAAAGGCAGACGCGCCGGGUUUAGGUUCCGGUGGAGAGAUCCGUGGGGGUUCGACUCCCCCCUCGUCGACCA